AACGGUCUAUACCUGCGGUACCUGCGGAGGGAUCAUUACCGAGUUAUCAACUCCCAAACCCCUGUGAACAUACCCGAACGUUGCCUCGGCGGGACCGCCCCGGCGCCCCUAGCGGCCCGGAACCAGGCGCCCGCCGGAGGACCCAAACUCUUGCUUUAAACAGUGGCAUACUCUCUGAGUCUCACAUACAAAAAAUAAAUCAAAACUUUCAGCAAUGGAUCUCUAGAUCGGAAGAGCACA
RNAcentral lists this unclassified non-coding RNA (240 nucleotides) under soil metagenome. Its description in RNAcentral is "partial contains 5.8S ribosomal RNA, internal transcribed spacer 2, and large subunit ribosomal RNA". The record is from RNAcentral.